GAUGAACGUUGGCGGCGUGCCUAAUACAUGCGAGUCGAGCGAACAGACGAGGAGCUUGCUCCUCUGACGUUAGCGGCGGACGGGUGAGUAACACGUGGAUAACCUACCUAUAAGACUGGGAUAACUUCGGGAAACCGGAGCUAAUACCGGAUAAUAUAUUGAACCGCAUGGUUCAAUAGUGAAAGACGGUUUUGCUGUCACUUAUAGAUGGAUCCGCGCCGCAUUAGCUAGUUGGUAAGGUAACGGCUUACCAAGGCAACGAUGCGUAGCCGACCUGAGAGGGUGAUCGGCCACACUGGAACUGAGACACGGUCCAGACUCCUACGGGAGGCAGCAGUAGGGAAUCUUCCGCAAUGGGCGAAAGCCUGACGGAGCAACGCCGCGUGAGUGAUGAAGGUCUUCGGAUCGUAAAACUCUGUUAUUAGGGAAGAACAAAUGUGUAAGUAACUAUGCACGUCUUGACGGUACCUAAUCAGAAAGCCACGGCUAACUACGUG
This 497-nucleotide ribosomal RNA is filed under the name uncultured bacterium. RNAcentral's name for it is "partial 16S ribosomal RNA". It matches the Rfam family "Bacterial small subunit ribosomal RNA", at positions 28 to 507 of the family's 1533-position model. The record is from RNAcentral.